UUUGAUACUGCUUGUUUAGAAAUGUGAAAGGCUAAUCGAAUAGCUGUUUUUCUGACACAUUGUUUUAGACAGUUUAGAGAGACCCAAAGUAUUUGUCAUACACUUUCAAACAGAUGAAAAAUUCAUAGAUAUUGACAUUAAUAGAGCAAAUGAAGACAUGGAAGCUAAACAGUAGUAGCUACGGAGGGGAGUACAAUCCACAGGAGGCUUUAGGAGAGAAGCGGGGACCCAGUGCCUGAAGUUGCGGUGCUCAGUUUAGCACUUUCAACAAAAAAGAAACUAGAAAUUUAUCAUUUUAAAAUUAUAGAAAUUAUAUAUUUAAAAUACUUGUAUUUUAAAAGUAUAUUUUAUAAUUUUGUAAGUUAUAAAAUUUGUUCUUCUAACUGUAAAAAUUGGAAUUGAGAACAGAAUUAAAUGGAAUUAGAAAAUUGUGGAGUUCCACUAACAUUAAAAAAGGC
This 458-nucleotide long non-coding RNA is filed under the name Pan troglodytes (chimpanzee). RNAcentral describes it as "long non-coding RNA NONPTRT003547". The record is from RNAcentral. Lineage: Eukaryota; Metazoa; Chordata; Mammalia; Primates; Hominidae.